AGUGAACGCUGGCGGUAGGCCUAACACAUGCAAGUCGAACGGCAGCACAGUAAGAGCUUGCUCUUACGGGUGGCGAGUGGCGGACGGGUGAGGAAUACAUCGGAAUCUACUUUUUCGUGGGGGAUAACGUAGGGAAACUUACGCUAAUACCGCAUACGACCUACGGGUGAAAGCAGGGGAUCUUCGGACCUUGCGCGAUUGAAUGAGCCGAUGUCGGAUUAGCUAGUUGGCGGGGUAAAGGCCCACCAAGGCGACGAUCCGUAGCUGGUCUGAGAGGAUGAACGGCCACACUGAACUGGAGACACGUUCCAAACUCCCAGGGAGGGCACAGUGGGGAAUAAUGGAACAUGGGGGGCAGCCUGAACCCGCCCAACCGGCUGGGUUAAAGAGGGCCUUCGGUUUGAAAGGCCCUUUGUUUGGGAAAAAAAGCCGGCGGUUAAAAACCCCGCGUUCCUAACGUAACCAAAAAAUAAAGAACCGCCAACUUCCUG
Molecule: ribosomal RNA, 491 nt
Filed under: uncultured bacterium
Lineage: Bacteria
Description: partial 16S ribosomal RNA
Rfam family: Bacterial small subunit ribosomal RNA
Source: RNAcentral